This 468-nucleotide ribosomal RNA is filed under the name uncultured bacterium. RNAcentral describes it as "partial 16S ribosomal RNA". It matches the Rfam family "Bacterial small subunit ribosomal RNA", at positions 28 to 507 of the family's 1533-position model. The record is from RNAcentral.
GACGAACGCUGGCGGCGUGCUUAACACAUGCAAGUCGAACGGAAAGGCCCUGCUUUUGUGGGGUGCUCGAGUGGCGAACGGGUGAGUAACACGUGAGUAACCUGCCCUUGACUUUGGGAUAACUUCAGGAAACUGGGGCUAAUACCGGAUAGGAGCUCCUGCUGCAUGGUGGGGGUUGGAAAGUUUCGGCGGUUGGGGAUGGACUCGCGGCUUAUCAGCUUGUUGGUGGGGUAGUGGCUUACCAAGGCUUUGACGGGUAGCCGGCCUGAGAGGGUGACCGGCCACAUUGGGACUGAGAUGCGGCCCAGACUCCUACGGGAGGCAGCAGUGGGGAAUGUUGCACAAUGGGAGGAAGCCUGAUGCAGCAACGCCGCGUGCGGGAUGACGGCCUUCGGGUUGUAAACCGCUUUCGCCUGUGACGAAGCGUGAGUGACGGUAAUGGGUAAAGAAGCACCGGCUAACUACGUG